This 359-nucleotide ribosomal RNA is filed under the name Mischonyx insulanus. Its description in RNAcentral is "partial large subunit ribosomal RNA". The stretch from base 227 to 359 matches the Rfam family "Bacterial large subunit ribosomal RNA", at positions 2473 to 2606 of the family's 2925-position model. Lineage: Eukaryota; Metazoa; Arthropoda; Arachnida; Opiliones; Gonyleptidae. The record is from RNAcentral.
GCAUAAUAAAUAGUUUUUUAAUUGGAAACUGGAAUGAAGGGUUAAAACUAAGAAGAAAGUUUUAUUUAAUAAAAUUUGAAUUUAAAUUAAAAGUAAAAAUGCUUUUAUAAAAUUUUGGGACGAGAAGACCCUAGAAGCUUAAAAUUAUAUAUAUUUUUUAUUGGGGUAAUAUUUGAAGAUAAAAAUUUUUAAUUUAUUAAAGUAUUUAAAAUAAAGUUACUCUAGGGAUAACAGCAUUAUUUAAUUAACAAGUUCUUAUUAAUAAUUAAGUUUGUGACCUCGAUGUUGAAUUAAAUUUUAUUUAUGGUGAAGGAGCUUUAAAGGGUAGUCUGUUCGACUAUUAAAAACUUACAUGAUUU